Molecule: ribosomal RNA, 448 nt
Filed under: uncultured bacterium
Lineage: Bacteria
Description: bacterial SSU rRNA
Rfam family: Bacterial small subunit ribosomal RNA
Source: RNAcentral
UUACCAGACUCCUACGGGAGGCAGCAGUGGGGAAUAUUGCACAAUGGGGGAAACCCUGAUGCAGCGACGCCGCGUGAGUGAAGAAGUAUUUCGGUAUGUAAAGCUCUAUCAGCAGGGAAGAAAAUGACGGUACCUGAUUAAGAAGCCCCGGCUAACUACGUGCCAGCAGCCGCGGUAAUACGUAGGGGGCAAGCGUUAUCCGGAUUUACUGGGUGUAAAGGGAGCGUAGACGGCUGUGCAAGCCAGAUGUGAAAGCCCGGGGCUCAACCCCGGGACUGCAUUUGGAACUGUGUGGCUGGAGUGUCGGAGAGGCAGGCGGAAUUCCUAGUGUAGUGGUGAAAUGCGUAGAUAUUAGGAGGAACACCAGUGGCGAAGGCGGCUUACUGAACUGUAACUGACGUUGAGGCUCGAAAGCGUGGGGAGCAAACAGGAUUAGAUACCCUUGUAU